CGUUCUUCACUGGCUAGUUUUAUGUCACUGUCAAACAGCUAAAGCUGCCAGUUGAAGAACUGU
Molecule: microRNA precursor, 63 nt
Filed under: Scyliorhinus torazame (cloudy catshark)
Lineage: Eukaryota; Metazoa; Chordata; Chondrichthyes; Carcharhiniformes; Scyliorhinidae
Description: Sto-Mir-22-P1b_pre stem-loop
Rfam family: mir-22 microRNA precursor family
Source: RNAcentral